UUAGCACACAGAAUCUGUUUACCAUAGCUUUGAAGAUUUUGGUGUUAAUACUUGUAAGGAAGACAAAGAUAUCAAUGUUGAAAUUCAUAGAGCUGGAAAACUAUUAACUCCUUGCAACUGGAAAAGGAAUAUCAAGACUGGCUUUUGCAGAUGCAUGAUCAAUAUGAUAAAGAAAAUAACUUUGGAGCAGAUCAAGCAAUUUUUAUCCUUAGCCCCAAAAACAAAAAGUCAUGGGCAUUUCAUCUGAUGUUGCAAGGGUGCACCAAGUACUAAAGAGGAAGGGUUUAACGUGGAAAAGAGGUCAAAGAGUUAAGGUUUUCAAGGGAGCAUGUGCUGGGUUCAUACAAACAAUAUCUAUGCAACAAUAGAAUAUUUUUAAUUGAA
Long non-coding RNA from Pistacia vera, 384 nucleotides. RefSeq lists it as uncharacterized. Lineage: Eukaryota; Viridiplantae; Streptophyta; Magnoliopsida; Sapindales; Anacardiaceae. The transcript has 3 exons. The record is from RefSeq and is a predicted model, not a curated record.